GGUCUUUACCCUGUCGAGUUGCAAGCUACUGAUCUCUGGUGAGCCACAGCUGUGCAUGAGGACCAGCACAGACAUCUCUUCAUGAUCCCAUGGCAGCGGCUCGCCUUCCAUCCCAGGACCAGCAUUGGCUGCCUAGCCGGGAGGCUGCAGAAAUCUUCCUCAGCCCUGGUCCCAGAGGGAGCUUCAGAAGUCAGUGACUGGGUGGACAAUGGCACUUUUCUUUCCUCUUCCAAGAUGGAUCAGCUAUGGGGGCCUCUGCAAGAACUGUGAUGACAUCUUCAUUUGUGGUACCCCAUUCACGAGGAACUCAGAUGAAGUUUUACUCUGGAAGUCUGCAGUUCUCAAUAAACCCACCCCCUCCACGAGUCCAGUCCAGAUGGUACCUACAGGAGCACCCAGCACAACAGUGUCCAGGGACUAUGGCUUCUGCUCAGGUUCAACAGAAAGUGCCAUGCACCCCUGGGAGCCAUUCCCAGGGCAUCCUUAGAGAUUGAACCCAGGCCCAAGGGAAACUGUCAGCUGGCCUGAUUCUAAAUCUGUUAACGUGUUAUAAUUUGACUUGUUAUUAGUUUUAACUUUCUACCCUGUAAAAAGUCAGUGCUUCCCUUUUCCAACUUUUGAUUUUGAUAAAAUUUUUACUUACAAAUAAAUUACACAAAUUAUACAAUGAACUCCCAUAUAUCCCUCAAUUAGAAGCCAGAGCUACCAAGUGUUAGUGGUUAAACUCAUGUACUUGCUCCUUCUU
This is a long non-coding RNA of Microtus ochrogaster (prairie vole), 745 nucleotides long. RefSeq lists it as uncharacterized. Lineage: Eukaryota; Metazoa; Chordata; Mammalia; Rodentia; Cricetidae. The transcript is spliced from 3 exons. The record is from RefSeq and is a predicted model, not a curated record.